CAAAAAGAAUGUGCGAGAAAAAGAUACGUGAACAAACUCGCUGCUGUCGGGAUCGACCCGUAUGAGACGGAGAAUGAAGAUACGUGAGACGACGUGGACAAAUUGCCUCAGAUCUAUGACAUAGUUACCUCCGUCGUGAACACCGUGGAGGAGCUUCACGGCCUGAAAUCCACGGACGGAUGCAGUCAGUGUGUCAGCGGCUUUGUGAAAGACGAACGACCCCUUCAGGUGAAUAAAAAUGACUUUCUGAACCCAACAAGGGCUGCAGCACAAAAUCCUGAGUCGUCCUGAUGCUGUAGAUUAAGAGCUACGAUGUUCAAAAGCAAGGCUUAGCUGCAGACCACUGAGGAGGAUCAGCUCAUUUCCUUUAGCACACGCCGUGGAGGUUGGUGGGCUGGUGACUGGAGAGGACCGAGGACCACCUGACGGCCCGCUGGUGCUUGGGAACGCGCACACAAACUGCUGAUUGUGUCUUUAUCUGUCCUCUGACAGCAGGUAUCACAACGAGAUCAGAGGCCUCUGAGAGAAAACUCCAUCGCUAACGAGGAAACUUUAGGUUCAGAUUAGAGUUUUCUGAAUGCAGGGAUGUAUUACUGAGGCCAGGGCCUCAGGAUUGUUAUGCAAAGCUGGCCAAGCAGAGAGUGUGGGAGGGCUGUCAAGCACACAUGUGUCCAGAUCAUAUUUGUACGAUCUCCCGUCAUGGUGAGAGACACGGGUUCAGACUGUGAGCUCUUAUCUGCUCUGUGACGGAUGGAAAGGCUGGAGCCCGUCCUGGAAAAGGAUCCCCAUCCCUGAGGCUCGUUACCUGGAAUCAAGAGAACUUGGUGGGUUUUUAAAAGUAAACCACGGCGUCAACGUGACAAACAAAAGCAGACAGAAAAUCCGCCACUGCCAUCCUGUGGUGACCUGAGGGUACUGCGCCUGCAGAGCAGCAACAUGGAUAACUCAUUACAGCCACACCAUGCCUUUUCCAUUUGUGAUCAGCCCUGCAGUCAGGCGUUAUUUUCCCGUCCACAUUCUCUAUGAGACAGCUGCAGGACCCUUGUGAGUGUUGCAGCCACAUAUCAUGCUUCCUCAGGCAGCCAACAAACAUGACAUGAACUAUGAGCUGGCUC
Molecule: long non-coding RNA, 1115 nt
Organism: Poecilia latipinna (sailfin molly)
Lineage: Eukaryota; Metazoa; Chordata; Actinopteri; Cyprinodontiformes; Poeciliidae
Exons: 7
Source: RefSeq, a predicted model, not a curated record